This 119-nucleotide ribosomal RNA is filed under the name Erinaceus europaeus (western European hedgehog). The record is from RNAcentral. Lineage: Eukaryota; Metazoa; Chordata; Mammalia; Eulipotyphla; Erinaceidae.
GUGUACGGCCAUACCACCCUGAACAUACCUGAUCUCCUCUGAUCUUGGAAGCUAAGCAGGGUCGGGCCUGGUUAGUACUUAGAUGGGAGACCGCCUGGGAACACUGGGUGUUGUAGGCU